UUUCUGUGAAAAUGCUCCUUACAUCAGCAGUCAUCUCCGUGGUAGAGUGUGGAAGGCACCGCCCUGCCAGGUGCCCGCUUGGAUAUCCACCAAAACCUAGUGGCUAAUACACGGUCGCCCCGGUCUGCUACGGCACGGUCUCGCCAGAAACGCUCAUCCGCUUUUGCCUGGCCGGCAGUGGAUUGCGCCCAGCCGCCCCUGAAGACCAGCGCCUGGAAAGGGCAGCGUGUCGUGGUUGACUCAGGCUGGUCCCCCGCGGACAACUGCGCUGGCAGAGUGGUGGCCUCGGCCACAGCAUUGCUUGACCACACGAACUUCUGACCUAUCAGCCUCGAUGGUGGUGUCGUGGACCACCAUGGCAGUGACGGGUAACGGAGAAUCAGGGUUCGAUUCCGGAGAGGGAGCCUGAGAGACGGCUACCACUUCUAAGGAGGGCAGCAGGCACGCAAAUUGCCCAAUGCUGAGACGUUCCUGGUGAGGCAGCGACGAACUGCAGCAAUUCCGCCUGUCCUCAGUGACCAGCGGGACUUGUAAUGGAUGCAAUCCAAACACAGUGAUGAGUAUCGACUGGAGGGCAAGUCUGGUGCCAGCAGCUGCGGUAAUUCCAGCUCCAAGGGCGUAUGCUAACUUUGCUGCUGUUGAAACACUUGUAGUCGGACGCUGGGUUGCAGGUCUGCCGGGCGGCAGCCUUCGCCUGGCGUGUCCGCGGUUCCCUCCCCGGCCUGGCUCGCCAGGCCGGGUGCGGGGCCGCGGCGCGCCAGCGGGCUGAUACAACCCCCGGCAGUAUGUUCCUGCACCCGUCUUCACGAUGGUGCGAACGGCUCCUGCUCCAAGUCUCCUUCAGUGGGGAUCGAUGCGGUUGCAUACCCAACGCUUGUGUGUUGACGCCAUCGGGGGGCACGGCCCCCGCGUGCCGUGCAGUGCCCUCAGUCCACCACCGGAGUCCACCAUCCCUGCCACCGUGGAAAACUCAGUGUGCCCAAAGCGUCCGCCUCGGCUGGAUGCCCGUCCAUGGAAUGGCAAAGCAUCGACCGGAUGUGGCUAUGGAGUUGUGCUGGCCUUGGUGCUCGUACCGGGGAACCUGGCACGGUCCCCUGCCCUCGCAGAGACGGCCUUCCCCCUCACCGGGGUUCGGCCGCUCCUCCUGGGGGGGCUGGUGGGCCGUGUCGAUCGUCCACGAUGGGACCGCUCGGGGUGAAAGGUAUUGCAACGCCAGAGGUGAAAUUCUUAGACCGCUGCAAGACCCGCUGCAGCGAAGGCGUUCUGCAAGUGCACGUCCGUCGAUCAAGAAUGUGAGUGUGGGGAGCGAAGAUGAUCAGACACCGUCGUAGUCCACAACUGUAAACNAUGCCAGCUCGGUNNUGNUGNNGCAAGUACACGGACNNCANCAGNGCCAUNCCCCCUNCAACGAGAAAUCCAAGCCNNUGGGUUCAAGGGGGAGUACUGUCGCAAGGCUGAAACUUAAAGGAAUUGACGGAAUGGCACCACAAGGCGUGGAGUAUGCGGCUUAAUUUGACUCAACACGGGGAAUGUUACCAGGUCCGGACGUUGCUGGGAUGGACAGAUUGAGAGCUCUUUCUUGAUCCUUNGGAUGGUGGUGCAUGGCCGCUCCUGAUUGGUGGAGUGAUUUGUCUGGUUGAUUCCGAUAACGAGUGAGACAUCUGCCUUCCAAUAGCCCUGGCCUCGCAUCUGUAGGGUGGUCGAUGCGUUCCGAGACGGGGUUCGCCCUUAGCCGAGGUCGUGCCGUUNUGCCCGAGAGGUACAGGAUCAGCUUCUNUGAGGUGCAGUGUACGCUGCCAAGUGCAUGCAUGCUAGAGCCAACAGCAGGUCUGUGAUGCUCCCAGAUGUCCUGGGCCGCACGCGCNCUACAUUGGUUUGGUGAAUAUGCCUGAGUCGCUCGUCCGACACCUGACCGGAAGUGGUUGGGAAACCCUUGGAGCCUAUGUUACAGCCGUACUGGGGAUGGAUGAUUGCAACUGUCCGUCUUGAACGAGGAANCCUAGUAAGCGUGGGUCAUCAGCCCACACUGAUUGUGUCCCUGCCAUUUGUACACACCGCCCGUCNUUGCUACNCAA
This 2075-nucleotide ribosomal RNA is filed under the name Lepocinclis sphagnophila. RNAcentral describes it as "SSU rRNA". It matches the Rfam family "Eukaryotic small subunit ribosomal RNA", at positions 84 to 1689 of the family's 1831-position model. The record is from RNAcentral. Lineage: Eukaryota; Euglenozoa; Euglenophyceae; Euglenales; Phacaceae.